CUUUGGGAUAACCCUCGGAAACGGGGGCUAAUACCGGAUAUGACCUUUCCUCGCAUGAGGGUUGGUGGAAAGUUUUUCGGCCUGGGAUGGGGUCGCGGCCUGUCAGCUUGUUGGUGGGGUGAUGGCCUACCAAGGCGACGACGGGUAGCCGGCCUGAGAGGGCGACCGGCCAUACUGGGACCGAGACACGGCCCAGACUCCUACGGGAGGCAGCAGUGGGGAAUAUUGCACAAUGGGCGGAAGCCUGAUGCAGCGACGCCGCGUGAGGGAUGACGGCCUUCGGGUUGUAAACCUCUUUCAGCAGGGACGAAGCGUAAGUGACGGUACCUGCAGAAGAAGCGCCGGCCAACUACGUGCCAGCAGCCGCGGUAAGACGUAGGGCGCGAGCGUUGUCCGGAUUUAUUGGGCGUAAAGAGCUCGUAGGCGGCUUGUCGCGUCGACCGUGAAAACCUGGGGCUCAACCCCAGGCCUGCGGUCGAUACGGGCAGGCUAGAGUUCGGUAGGGGAGACUGGAAUUCCUGGUGUAGCGGUGAAAUACGCAGACAUCAGGAGGAACACCGGUGGCGAAGGCGGGUCUCUGGGCCGAUACUGACGCUGAGGAGCGAAAGCGUGGGGAGCGAACAGGAUUAGAUACCCUGGUAGUCCACGCUGUAAACGUUGGGCGC
Molecule: ribosomal RNA, 665 nt
Filed under: uncultured Micromonosporaceae bacterium
Lineage: Bacteria; Bacillati; Actinomycetota; Actinomycetes; Micromonosporales; Micromonosporaceae
Description: bacterial SSU rRNA
Rfam family: Bacterial small subunit ribosomal RNA
Source: RNAcentral